This 301-nucleotide unclassified non-coding RNA is filed under the name Funneliformis mosseae. RNAcentral's name for it is "partial contains 5.8S ribosomal RNA and internal transcribed spacer 2". The stretch from base 1 to 71 matches the Rfam family "5.8S ribosomal RNA", at positions 84 to 154 of the family's 154-position model. Lineage: Eukaryota; Fungi; Glomeromycota; Glomeromycetes; Glomerales; Glomeraceae. The record is from RNAcentral.
GUGAAUCAUCGAAUCUUUGAACACAAAUUGCACUCCCUGGUAUUCCGGGGAGUAUGCCUGUUUGAGGGUCGGUAGAAUAAAAAAUCGAGGCGUCGCUCUUUUUUUUAAGGGGGAUCGCGUCGGAAUUGAGCCGUCUUUCAAAUGUUAAUUCAUUUCAAAGUGGCUUAAAUUUCAUCUAUCCGGUACUAUUAAAGCGUAUUUAAGAUCAAUUUUGAUUAAGAACGCGCGAUGAACGUACUAUCUCAUGUAGUACGUUUGACCUUGGUCGUCAGUAUCAUUCGUAUACGAUACUCAAACUUUU